GAGGGGCUCGCGGCCUAUCAGCUAGUUGGCGAGGUAACGGCUCACCAAGGCUAUGACGGGUAGCUGGUCUGAGUGGACGACCAGCCACACGGGAACUGAGACACGGUCCCGACUCCUACGGGAGGCAGCAGUGGGGAAUUUUCCGCAAUGGGCGAAAGCCUGACGGAGUGACGCCGCGUGGGGGACGAAGGCCUUCGGGUCGUAAACCCCUGUCAGAGGGAAAGAAGGGUGUCGGCGUGAACAGCGCCGGCAUUUGACGGUACCUUCAGAGGAAGCCCCGGCCAACUCUGUGCCAGCAGCCGCGGUAAGACAGAGGGGGCAAGCGUUGCUCGGAAUUACUGGGCGUAAAGGGCGCGUAGGCGGGAUGGCAAGUCGGUCGUGAAAUCCUUCGGCUCAACCGAAGAACGUCGGCCGAUACUGCCGUUCUUGAGGGAUGCAGAGGAGAUUGGAAUUCCCGGUGUAGCGGUGAAAUGUGUAGAGAUCGGGAGG
RNAcentral lists this ribosomal RNA (489 nucleotides) under uncultured Chloroflexota bacterium. Its description in RNAcentral is "bacterial SSU rRNA". It matches the Rfam family "Bacterial small subunit ribosomal RNA", at positions 224 to 704 of the family's 1533-position model. The record is from RNAcentral. Lineage: Bacteria; Bacillati; Chloroflexota.